AGAGUUUGAUCCUGGCUCAGGACGAACGCUGGCGGCGUGCCUAAUACAUGCAAGUAGAACGCUGAAGAGAGGAGCUUGCUCUUCUUGAAUGAGUUGCGAACGGGUGAGUAACGCGUAGGUAACCUGCCUUGUAGCGGGGGAUAACUAUUGGAAACGAUAGCUAAUACCGCAUAACAAUGGUGACACAUGUCAUUAUUUGAAAGGGGCAAUUGCUCCACUACAAGAUGGACCUGCGUUGUAUUAGCUAGUAGGUGAGGUAACGGCUCACCUAGGCGACGAUACAUAGCCGACCUGAGAGGGUGAUCGGCCACACUGGGACUGAGACACGGCCCAGACUCCUACGGGAGGCAGCAGUAGGGAAUCUUCGGCAAUGGGGGCAACCCUGACCGAGCAACGCCGCGUGAGUGAAGAAGGUUUUCGGAUCGUAAAGCUCUGUUGUAAGUCAAGAACGAGUGUGAGAGUGGAAAGUUCACACUGUGACGGUAGCUUACCAGAAAGGGACGGCUAACUACGUGCCAGCAGCCGCGGUAAUACGUAGGUCCCGAGCGUUGUCCGGAUUUAUUGGGCGUAAAGCGAGCGCAGGCGGUUUGAUAAGUCUGAAGUUAAAGGCUGUGGCUCAACCAUAGUUCGCUUUGGAAACUGUCAAACUUGAGUGCAGAAGGGGAGAGUGGAAUUCCAUGUGUAGCGGUGAAAUGCGUAGAUAUAUGGAGGAACACCGGUGGCGAAAGCGGCUCUCUGGUCUGUAACUGACGCUGAGGCUCGAAAGCGUGGGGAGCGAACAGGAUUAGAUACCCUGGUAGUCCACGCCGUAAACGAUGAGUGCUAGGUGUUGGAUCCUUUCCGGGAUUCAGUGCCGCAGCUAACGCAUUAAGCACUCCGCCUGGGGAGUACGACCGCAAGGUUGAAACUCAAAGGAAUUGACGGGGGCCCGCACAAGCGGUGGAGCAUGUGGUUUAAUUCGAAGCAACGCGAAGAACCUUACCAGGUCUUGACAUCCCGAUGCUAUUUCUAGAGAUAGAAAGUUACUUCGGUACAUCGGUGACAGGUGGUGCAUGGUUGUCGUCAGCUCGUGUCGUGAGAUGUUGGGUUAAGUCCCGCAACGAGCGCAACCCCUAUUGUUAGUUGCCAUCAUUCAGUUGGGCACUCUAGCGAGACUGCCGGUAAUAAACCGGAGGAAGGUGGGGAUGACGUCAAAUCAUCAUGCCCCUUAUGACCUGGGCUACACACGUGCUACAAUGGUUGGUACAACGAGUUGCGAGUCGGUGACGGCAAGCUAAUCUCUUAAAGCCAAUCUCAGUUCGGAUUGUAGGCUGCAACUCGCCUACAUGAAGUCGGAAUCGCUAGUAAUCGCGGAUCAGCACGCCGCGGUGAAUACGUUCCCGGGCCUUGUACACACCGCCCGUCACACCACGAGAGUUUGUAACACCCGAAGUCGGUGAGGUAACCUUUUGGAGCCAGCCGCCUAAGGUGGGAUAGAUGAUUGGGGUGAAGUCGUAACAAGGUAGCCGUAUCGGAAGGUGCGGCUGGAUCACCUCCUUU
RNAcentral lists this ribosomal RNA (1539 nucleotides) under Streptococcus vestibularis F0396. Its description in RNAcentral is "bacterial SSU rRNA". It matches the Rfam family "Bacterial small subunit ribosomal RNA". The record is from RNAcentral. Lineage: Bacteria; Bacillati; Bacillota; Bacilli; Lactobacillales; Streptococcaceae.